AGUGAACGCUGGCGGUAGGCCUAACACAUGCAAGUCGAACGGCAGCACAGUAAGAGCUUGCUCUUACGGGUGGCGAGUGGCGGACGGGUGAGGAAUACAUCGGAAUCUACUUUUUCGUGGGGGAUAACGUAGGGAAACUUACGCUAAUACCGCAUACGACCUACGGGUGAAAGGAGGGGAUCUUCGGACCUUGCGCGAUUGAAUGAGCCGAUGUCGGAUUAGCUAGUUGGCGGGGUAAAGGCCCACCAAGGCGACGAUCCGUAGCUGGUCUGAGAGGAUGAUCAGCCACACUGGAACUGAGACACGGUCCAGACUCCUACGGGAGGCAGCAGUGGGGAAUAUUGGACAAUGGGCGCAAGCCUGAUCCAGCCAUACCGCGUGGGUGAAGAAGGCCUUCGGGUUGUAAAGCCCUUUUGUUGGGAAAGAAAAGCAGCAGGUUAAUACCCCACUGUUCUGACGGUACCCAAAGAAUAAGCACCGGCUAACUUCGUG
Molecule: ribosomal RNA, 492 nt
Filed under: uncultured bacterium
Lineage: Bacteria
Description: partial 16S ribosomal RNA
Rfam family: Bacterial small subunit ribosomal RNA
Source: RNAcentral